RNAcentral lists this transfer RNA (67 nucleotides) under Marmota monax (woodchuck). RNAcentral's name for it is "tRNA.Ala". Lineage: Eukaryota; Metazoa; Chordata; Mammalia; Rodentia; Sciuridae. The record is from RNAcentral.
GGUCAUAACUCAGUGGUAGAACACUCGUCUGGCACACGCGACACCCUGGGUUCGAUCCUCAGCACCA